Molecule: ribosomal RNA, 253 nt
Filed under: uncultured bacterium
Lineage: Bacteria
Description: partial 16S ribosomal RNA
Rfam family: Bacterial small subunit ribosomal RNA
Source: RNAcentral
UACGGAGGGUGCAAGCGUUAUCCGGAUUCACUGGGUUUAAAGGGUGCGUAGGCGGCGCGGUAAGUCGGGUGUGAAAUCUCGGGGCUUAACUCCGAAACUGCAUUCGAUACUGCCGUGCUUGAGGACUGGAGAGGAGACUGGAAUUUACGGUGUAGCGGUGAAAUGCGUAGAUAUCGUAAGGAAGACCGGUGGCGAAGGCGGGUCUCUGGGCCGAUACUGACGCUGAGGAGCGAAAGCGUGGGGAGCGAACAGG